RNAcentral lists this long non-coding RNA (341 nucleotides) under Trifolium pratense (red clover). Its description in RNAcentral is "long non-coding RNA (TPRA_LNC009750)". Lineage: Eukaryota; Viridiplantae; Streptophyta; Magnoliopsida; Fabales; Fabaceae. The record is from RNAcentral.
GAGUGCAGCUUUGCUCCAUUUCUAUAAGCUCCUUUUAUUCCUUUUGAUUGCACUGAUAAGGGACAUGUGGCAAAAACAAAAUCAAAGGCUGAGAUUAAUCAAGUAUUUUGUUUAAUAAAACACAAAAUAACAAAGCAACAUGCGCCUCCUUCUUCUUGAUUCAUUGUUUCAUCUCUGCCUCUGCCUCUCCCUCUCGCCUCCGCCCGUCCCUCACCGACCGAAGAGUUCUCUCUGUCUGGCUGCGUUCUCUCCGUCCAUUGUAACGGCAGCGUUCUCGCCGUCUUUCCGCUUCUUCUCUUUAGUUUAUCUGAUACAUAUUUUCAUCUUCUUCACUUAUGGUG